Molecule: ribosomal RNA, 253 nt
Filed under: uncultured bacterium
Lineage: Bacteria
Description: partial 16S ribosomal RNA
Rfam family: Bacterial small subunit ribosomal RNA
Source: RNAcentral
UACGUAGGGACCGAGCGUUGUCCGGAUCCAUUGGGCGUAAAGAGCUCGUAGGCGGCUGCUCAAGUCGAAUGUGAAAACUCGAGGCUCAACCUCGAGCCUGCAUUCGAUACUGGGCGGCUAGAGUCUGGUAGGGGGAUCUGGAAUUCCUGGUGUAGCGGUGGAAUGCGCAGAUAUCAGGAGGAACACCGGUGGCGAAGGCGGGAUCCUGAGCCAGUACUGACGCUGAGGAGCGAAAGCGUGGGGAGCGAACAGG